UUAAGUGACGAUAGCCUAGGUGAUACACCUGUACCCAUGCCGAACACAGCAGUUAAGCCCUAGAACGCCGGAAGUAGUUGGGGGUUGCCCCCUGUGAGAUAUGGUAGUCGCUUAGC
This 116-nucleotide ribosomal RNA is filed under the name Streptococcus sanguinis. The record is from RNAcentral. Lineage: Bacteria; Bacillati; Bacillota; Bacilli; Lactobacillales; Streptococcaceae.